Oryza sativa Japonica Group (Japanese rice) is the source of this 3515-nucleotide non-coding RNA. Lineage: Eukaryota; Viridiplantae; Streptophyta; Magnoliopsida; Poales; Poaceae. The record is from RefSeq and is a predicted model, not a curated record.
UGCUCUGACUGUCUCCUCCGCGUCCGCGUAAGUAAAAAAAAUGCAACUACCUUCUCCUUCCUCGCCCCGCCGCCGUCCUCGCCUUCCCAUCCGCCGCGUCGCCCCGCUGCAGGCCGCCCCUCCCGGUCCACAUCGCGCCGCCCCGCCGCCGUCCUCGCCUUCCCCAUCCGCACGCCGCCACUCCGCCGUCCUCGCCGGCCGCAUCCUGUCGCCACUCCGGUCCUCCUCCGUCAGCCGCUUCUCCGGCACCCUCCGCGACGGGGCCCGCAAGUCCGGCGAGCGCACGAGGGACCGGACAAGGACCGCGCUGGCGACAGCGGCAUCUCCCGCCGCUGCCAGAUCCUCCUCGGAUUCCUCUGCUUCAGUGCUUCGUCCUCCUGUUCACCAUCUUCUGCCUCAUCAUCUGGGGCGUCAAGGGAGUCUCUUGUUGCUCGCUGACGGCUCGUGAUCAGCCUUCAUCUGAGACAGUCUCCUCCAAAAGUUGACCUUGAAGGUGUUGGUUGGGAUUAGGGCCUUUUUAUAGUUCCGCCGUAUUGAAGCUCCUCCCUCCCCGUCACGCCCCCACUCGCCGGCCUCCGCUGCGCCUCCGCUCUCACCAAUGCCACGCAUCUGGGGAAGAAGGGGAGGAGAUAGAGAAGAGAAAGGGAGAUGAUGAAGUGGAGGAAGUGGGGUCCAUUAUUUUUAAUCUUAUAAUUUGACUGACAUGUGGGUCUAAAUAUUUUGUUUUUAUUUUUAAAUUGUUAAUUUUGCUUCAUAUGCCACAUACCUGUUAUAUCUGAUUUUCAGUUUGAAGGAUGAAAUCGGAUUCGUUGACAAAUUAAGGGACUUAACUUAUAGUUGAAGCAGUAAACCAGAUAAACUGACUAGAGUAUAUUUUUGCAAGCUACUUAAGAAGGAAAAUGUGGAAAUAUAUUUUUUGUUGCAAGCCAUUUUACUUGUGUUUUGUCAGUGACACUGGCUGGCCCAGCAUGCACCCCCCCCCCCACACCCAACCCCACCCAAAAGGAUAUCACUACAAAUUGGUUGAAAAUGGAGGGUUCAAGCCAAUGCAUCUGCUUACAUGGUUUAACGUCAGGCUGGACUCGUGAAUUUUGUUUUGUAUCUAUAUGUUUUUUCUUCAAUAAGUUCAGCACAAAAUUGUGAGUGUUCCUUUCUUCGUCUCUCGCCUUGUACAUUUCUAAUUGUUAUAUGUUAUUUAACUGUAUAAACAAUUAAUAACAAGAAUUGUGUAUAGGUGGCGCGUCCCAGUAUCUAGUAUAUUUGAAUGUUGGUCUAGGUACCAGAAUUUAUCCAUUUAUCUAAGCAUAUGCUGCUGUUAUUGUACCCUUCCUGACUCCAAUAUGAUGAAAAUGUAGAUCUUUCUACAUAGAAUUGAAAUCUCACUACAGUAAACAUCAUGCUGUGAUUAAUUGUUAUGCAUAUGUCAGUGUAUGUUCACCUACACACAUGUCUCAAGGACAACAUAGAUAGAAAAAUUGAUCUGCUAAUGAUUAAUUGUUAUGCAUAUGUCAGUGUAUGUUCAUGGGAAUAAAAUGUCUGCCUAUUCUUAUUUUUCUGCAGAGAAAUAAUUGUACUAUGUGCUUGUGCACUGAUAAUAUGAGUGUGCUUGAAAUCUGUUGUUAAUUCAUGGGCUUGAACUUCUAAACAGAAUUAUCCACACCACAGACACAUGGUUAUUUUACUAUGGCAGUAAUUACACCUAGGAACUAUGCAUGUUAAUUUGAUGAGUCGCUCUUCUUCAUUGUAGGGUGAAUUGGUCACAGUGUAUGCUAACAAUUGGAGCAAGAUAACUUGCGGGGGAAACUUUGCACAGAGUUCCACUACGAUUAAUGGGUGGCUCCGAGAUUUCUUGUGGGCACAAGCAUCCCAAGCCAAGAAGAAGAUGGCGAGGCUGAUACAAAGGAUCAUCCAGGACAAGAGGGCAAGGAGGGCCGCCGCGGGACGCCAUCGAUGUCCUCAUCGGAGACGGCAGCAAUGAGCUCACCGACAAACUCAUCUCUGACACCAUGAUCGACCUCAUGAUACCCGCAAGGACUCCGUCCCGGUUCUCAUCAUGCUCACCAUCAAGUUCCUCAGCGAGUGCCCUCUCGCCCUUCACCAACUGGAAAUCAAGCAGGAUGACUAAUGUUGUUGACGUGAUGACUGCUAUCUGGACUUGCUUAUGAUAUUGUUUUCUGCCUUUCCAUUCUAUGUAGGGUCAUUCAUUGAUGCAUUUUCCUAGCCUGUUAACUGCAUCACAACACCGAGCCCAAAUUGGAAAGAGAUCAUGGCCAUCCUAUCAAGAAGUUCUUGCAGGACCUUGGCCAGGUCCCCAAACCUGACAGCAAGCUGGUGAGUUUGCCGGACGACCGGGCAGACAUGGAAAUCAGCUUCAAGCCACUCCAAGUCAAGCUUGUCAGAAAUCCUGGUAAAUCUUCAGUGUUGGAUAGUGUGGUGGGGAUGGAUUUCUUACUAAGUGAUUCAGGUAUGUUUCAGGAAGUAGUUACUGUUGAGUUUUGUGAUACCUUCCAGUUUUAUGUAUUUUUAAAAGCUAUGUUUGGAUUGGAGGAUGCUACCUACAGGCAUCUAUUAUCUUAAAAAAAAAUUAUAGGUAUCCUCAGCCAUUCAUCAUAGGUGGUGCAACCUGCAGCAAGAGAUUUAUAGAUUUUUUAUUAUCAAUCCAGUAGCUGAUUCCUAUGUUGGUCAACCGAUGAAUUUGAGGCUUGCGUGCUAGUGGCAGAGUAGGUUCUUGUCACUGUCAAGAUGACAGGCAAUGCGAGGAAGGCCUGAUGAGAAGAGGAGCAUGCAAGCUACAAUUGCUUUGUUACAUGUAUGAAUUGGAAGCUGCGGAGAGGGUUGUGCACUGGUUGAAUAAAUCUGUUGUACAUUUUGUGGAGAGCAUCAAAGAAAUUAUCGAUGAGAAGUUUGGCAAUGAAAUCAUGUCAGCUAUCGACUUCUACUGUUCGGUUGACUAGGUAGGUGCUGAUGGAAAAACAAGGUACAUGGUGCUGAUGGAAAAGAUCGUGUGGUCACAUUUGAUGGGAAAUAUCUUCCAUGUACUAUGCAGGUCCAUGUUGUUGGAGAAGAGCCAGUUGAUAUCCGUGCGACUAUUCCCAGAGCCCGGCUGGCUGGACAAGGAGCUCCCACUGCUCGCCAGCUUGGUUCUGCGCAUCUCCUAGGUCUGCCCUCCUAGGUCUACCCGCCGCACCGGUCUUAUAUCUCCUCUGAGAUUUCAAGAGAUGAAGUGACGCUGAGUGUAUCCACACGAAUCUGACCGCAUGGGUCUGGCUUUCUAAGAAUCGACCAAUUCACUAAUUCAAUAUGACUUUUUAUUAUGACAUCGCUCUUCAUGGUGUAACCAAUGCUCAUACUAUACAGACAUUAAAGCAAUCUGUAAGAUUAAUAUUUUUUCUAUUAUUUCUACCUUGUUGUAUACAUGAAAUGAUUUGUACGAGUAAGUUAUGCAUGAAAAUAUCACGUUCAUACUCACUGUAAGAAACUGGAUGAUCAACAGGUUUAUUCCAUGUUUGUAACCA